CAUACAGUCAGCCAUAUGGGAUCCAGCCUCCUUAACCACUGUACCAUGGGCUGCCCUAGCUGGAUCCUUGUCAUUUAGUCUCAGCUUAAAUGUCACCUCCUUAGAGAAGGCCACUGCUGUAGACACUGUUGUGGUAUGCCCCAUCCUCUCCAGGACCAAGGGAUAAACUUGUGGCAGGCGCACGGCCCUGGCUGUCAACGGUCCUCAGGAACUGGGCUGGCUUAUGUUCAGGUGUCCAGAAAUCUGGCUCCCCUACCUUCAAUCAAGACAGCUCCUGGGCUGUUCCAGCUCCUGGAGUGGUGCAGGCACCCAGCUGGCCCCCUGCCCAGUGCUGUGUCUUUGUUUCCCUCUCAGGUCUUGAUUCAGGGGCAUACCCAUGACAUCCCUUCAAAUCAUUACCCCAUCCCACUAUCACAUGUUUUAAUUCUCUGCAUGGCUUUUUAUCUUUAAUGCUUUCAUUCAUUUUUGUUUUCUGCUUCCUGUCAUUAGGAUGUAAGUCCGUGAGGAGCCAGAACCUGCUGCUUACCUGUCUCUGUAGUGCCUGCACUAGAACCUGGCACUCAACACAAGCAAGGACAUGGCUCGUGUGACCACAUCCUCUGUGGUCCUUCUUUCAGGGCUAAAGGAACCAAAUGGGUCUGAUAUCCAAGAAACAGAACAAACAUCCAGAAUCAUUUGGAACGAUCACCUCUACCACCAAACCUUUGUACCAAAUGACAAACUGCUGGGCGGGUUAUCCUGCAGUUCAGGGGCCAGAUAAAGGGGAAUUCUUGUGGCAAACUGAAAGGCUGUAGAUGAGGACAAAUUAAAAUUCAGGCAGUGGUAGAAUGUGGGGAAAGAGAAAAAGAAUACAACCAACUAUGGCCUCAGUUACUGCACCUUGAGACAAAUGACUCCAGCAUGCCCUGCUCUAGAAACAUCUGAGGACCUGACUCUCAGGUGGCAGCCCAAGUUUCCCCUCAUUUUCGGACUCAGAAAUUCAGCCUGGGCACACCACUUGGCUGUCCCUCAUAGACAACAUGUCAAAAGCGAACUCACCGACUAGCCCACAUCCUCUAAUUCCAGCUCUUGGCUGCCACCAGCCUGUCACAAGGGUUGACAUCUUGCAAAGACUCGUUGAUCCCCUUGUGCGUAUAGUGGAUCACCUGGGCCACCUCUGGGGCAAAUCCUUGCCCCCUCUUCAUCCUGCCUCCUUGGACACCAACCAUGUCAACCAUUCCCAAGCUCUGGAAUCCUAUUCCUGCCCAGGAUCCUGAGAGGGUAUGUGAGAAUGACACAUGAAGACAUGUUUAUCCAGUGAUCUGUUCCACCAGAGGUGGGAAAGGACUCCCCUGUCAACCUCCUUGGCCCCUCAGCAACAUUCGAAUCCUGCUAGUUGGACCUCUUAGGAGAUUCUGUUCUCCAUGCUCCUUCCUCAUUCCAACAUCCCUCAUCUCUCUGCUUGUUCUCUUCUGGAUCAUCUUCCUCACAGGUGUCAGGGAUCUUUCUGGAAUGCAAAUGUAACAUGCCACUUCCCUGGUCUUCCUAUGGUGACCCAGAUAAAGUAGCUCUGAGCAAUUUAGCCAUGGCUGGUGGUGGUGAAGGAGAAUGUCCUUUAAGUAUGUAAUCUUGUAACAUUAUACUUUGUGAGGUUAUAAGCAUAUAACCCAGACCCUUAGUGCCAUGAGAUUCUAGGGAACUCUAACAGAAUAACUUGAGAUGUGAGAGAGUGAGGGCACUCAUGGUCUGAACCACUAAGUUAGCAAGGGCCCCACAGGUUAGGGUUUGAAUGCGUACUCCAGAUUUGUGUACUCCAUUUGCUGCAAACUAAAUCCCUGAUGCAAUGGUGCUGAGAGGUGAGACCUGCACGAGGUGAUUAGGUCAUGGGGGCACCACCCGCCCGAGUGGAUUAAGGCCAAUAUAGAGGAGUGAAUUGGUUGUACAAGGUUGAACUUGGCCCCUUUCUCAUCCUUCUGCCUUCCGCUAUGGGAUGAUGAAGCACAAAGGCCUCUCCAGAUGUGGGCCCCUUGGUUUUAGACUUCUCAAUGUCCAGAACUGUAAGAAAUAAAUCUUCAUUCUUUAAAAAUUA
Long non-coding RNA from Tupaia belangeri chinensis (Chinese tree shrew), 2068 nucleotides. RefSeq lists it as uncharacterized. Lineage: Eukaryota; Metazoa; Chordata; Mammalia; Scandentia; Tupaiidae. The transcript is spliced from 2 exons. The record is from RefSeq and is a predicted model, not a curated record.